UAAUAAAAUUAAAAAAAAAGAAGAAGAAUAAAAAAAAUAAAAGAAAUAGGUGGUUUCUAGAGUGCAUUAUAUUUAGUUAAUCUGCUAAACAUCAAGUCCCAUUAGCCUAACUUCCAUCUUUAUCUUUAACAUAGAGAGGCGCAUUUACAUAUAACAUCCUGAAACUGUGCUCUAUAGUCCCUUCCAUGUAGUCUUUCCUUCGCUUUUUCACUGGCAGUGACUCUGUGAGAAAACUGGUACCCACUACUCUAGUUUCCCUGACCUUCACAUGGCUGCGUGUAACAGAGACCAUUAAAUUGAUCUCCCAUCUCCAUUCUCCUCAUCUUGUUGUUUUGGUUUGUUUUUGUAAUGGACACGCCUGAGUUUUAGCCAACAGAUGACUGCCUUGCUAGCUCAUUGUAGACACGUGACUAAGUUUUGCCUGAGGGAAUGUGAGUAGAAAAACCAUGCACGGCAUCUGUAUCACAUUCUUAAAAGAAAGCUUUUUUCCCUUCAUGUCUUUUUCCCACUUCGCAUGAGCUGGAACACAGUUGUAAUGGUGGUCAGCCAGCCUCAACCAUGCCCACGAGGAAAACAAGGGAAAUGUAGAAAAAUAAGACAGAAGGAAAGAUGCAUGAUCUACUAGAGCAGAGCUGCCUUCCUCCGAAAACUGCCCCAAGCUCCAGACUGCUUUGCGAGAGAGAAAUGAACAUGAAUCUUCUUCCAUGUGUACCAAGGCUGCACCUCUGUCAUCACUCAGAGACGAAACAUGCGCCUGAGGCCUAAGCCAGUCAUUGCAUCACAGUCUCAUCCACAGUGACUGGAAGCCAACUUGCUCUUGCUUUUUGGUCUUGAAGCUGAAAGGAUGGAAGGACGAGAGCACUACUGUGGGGAACCUAACACUGAAGCCACCCAGAAAGCAGAGUUCAAGAAUGGAGAGCAACCAAGCACUAGUGGAUUAUUUAGCCUGAAUUCAGCUAGGCUUGAAGCCUGGGACCUACACUUGGGCUUUUCAGUUACACGAAACAACACAUUUCCUUUUAAGGCAGUUUGGGUCAGGUUUUCUGCCACUUGUAACCAAAAGAACCCCAAUUAUUCCCUAUAGUCUUAGCCUGUGCCAAAGAUGAGCUGUUUCUACGCAUCAGUGGAGAAAGUGUGCAUCUUUCUAUCCCAUUGUUUGUAAUUUUAUUGCUUGCCAGAACCUCCAAGAUUCUUGAUAAACAAAACUUUAUUAUGUAAAAUACAAAAUGCUUUGUCAGCAACAGUAAUGCAUAGUCAAAGGUCACUGCUUUCAGGAAGACUCCAUAACAUCUCUUACUUGGUAAUUUUGGAUUUGCCACAAUUCCUGGCUUAUGAAUUUUUAGCAGUAGCAUUGCUAUAUUUUAUAUUUAUGUACUUUAAAAAUCUGAUAUUUGAUCUAAUUGUACCCUUAAUCUAAAUAUAGUACACAAUCUGAAAGACUUCAGGCUCCAGGGCAAAACCUUUAGUGAAUUAAAUUUGGAGUCUUUUGUACCAUCAGAAAAAAAAUAAAUUCUUUUUUGGUGGUGGGAGAGGGGAACUUUGAGAGCUAAUUUAAUAGCACUGUUUUAAACACUUUGCUCAGGAAAUCAUCAAUUUAUUAUAUUUGCUCAGAUAAAUUGUUUUUUAAAAUGGAUUGGAUUAAACUCUGCAUCACAAUCUUCA
Miniopterus natalensis is the source of this 1662-nucleotide non-coding RNA. The record is from RefSeq and is a predicted model, not a curated record. NCBI's taxonomy places the organism in Eukaryota, Metazoa, Chordata, Mammalia, Chiroptera, Miniopteridae.